CCCUGCCCAUAUCUCACUCCCCCGCCCAUAUCUCACUCCCCUGCCCAUAUCUCACUGCCCAGCCCAUAUCUCACUCCCCUGCCCAUAUCUCACUCCCUGCCCAGCCCACAUCUCACUGCCCUGCCCAUAUCUCACUCCCCUGCCCAUAUCUCACUGCCCUGCCCAGCCCAUAUCUCACUCCCCUGCCCAGCCUACAUCUCACUCCCCUGCCCAUAUCUCACUGCCCUUCCCAGCCCACAUCUCACUCCCCUGCCCAUAUCUCACUGCCCUGCCCAUAUCUCACUGCCCUGCCCACAUCUCACUCCCCUGCCCAGCCCAUAUCUCACUCCCCUGCCCAGCCUACAUCUCACUCCCC
This is a long non-coding RNA of Oncorhynchus tshawytscha (Chinook salmon), 355 nucleotides long. The record is from Ensembl. Lineage: Eukaryota; Metazoa; Chordata; Actinopteri; Salmoniformes; Salmonidae.